This 468-nucleotide ribosomal RNA is filed under the name uncultured bacterium. Its description in RNAcentral is "partial 16S ribosomal RNA". It matches the Rfam family "Bacterial small subunit ribosomal RNA", at positions 28 to 507 of the family's 1533-position model. The record is from RNAcentral.
GACGAACGCUGGCGGCGUGCUUAACACAUGCAAGUCGAACGGAAAGGCCCUGCUUUUGUGGGGUGCUCGAUUGGCGAACGGGUGAGUAACACGUGAGUAACCUGCCCUUGACUUUGGGAUAACUUCAGGAAACUGGGGCUAAUACCGGAUAGGAUCUCCUGCUGCAUGGUGGGGGUUGGAUAGUUUCGGCGGUUGGGGAUGGACUCGCGGCUUAUCAGCUUGUUGGUGGGGUAGUGGCUUACCAAGGCUUUGACGGGUAGCCGGCCUGAGAGGGUGAACGGCCACAUUGGGACUGAGAUACGGCCCAGACUCCUACGGGAGGCAGCAGUGGGGAAUAUUGCACAAUGGGCGGAAGCCUGAUGCAGCAACGCCGCGUGCGGGAUGACGGCCUUCGGGUUGUAAACCGCUUUCGCCUGUGACGAAGCGUGAGUGACGGUAAUGGGUAAAGAAGCACCGGCUAACUACGUG